CCGUAUGAACUUACCUGGGCCAAUUUGUAAGAGUUGUAAAAGUUCAGAGACUAGUUUGAUAUUUUCUCUUUUCUGCGUUUAUCUUCGAAUUCCCGAUCUAUAAUAUAAAGUUUUCCAUUCAUUAGCAUCUAAUUCAAUACUAAUUCACUUCGCAAUUUAUGCCCUUCAAUUUUCGAAAUUACACUUUUACCCCAAAAUUUACAAUUUUUACAAUUUAGUCCCUACUCAAUAAACACUUUAAUUGAAC
This 247-nucleotide long non-coding RNA is filed under the name Gossypium barbadense (sea-island cotton). RNAcentral's name for it is "long non-coding RNA (GBAR_LNC020668)". Lineage: Eukaryota; Viridiplantae; Streptophyta; Magnoliopsida; Malvales; Malvaceae. The record is from RNAcentral.